Molecule: non-coding RNA, 24 nt
Filed under: Arabidopsis thaliana (thale cress)
Lineage: Eukaryota; Viridiplantae; Streptophyta; Magnoliopsida; Brassicales; Brassicaceae
Source: RNAcentral
GACAACGUAAGACUGGCCCUCGUU